Molecule: non-coding RNA, 82 nt
Organism: Pristis pectinata (smalltooth sawfish)
Lineage: Eukaryota; Metazoa; Chordata; Chondrichthyes; Rhinopristiformes; Pristidae
Source: the annotation of a RefSeq genome assembly
ACAGUGAUGGCCGAGUGGUUAAGGUGUUGGACUUGAACUCCAGUGGGGUCUCCCCGGGCAGGUCCGAAACCUGUUCGCUGCG